CAGUCACAUCACAUUGAAACACUGGUUUCCUGUAUGAUCCCUGGAGUUAAGCAACAGCAAGCUGGUCAGUACCUAGAUGAGUGACCACUUGGGAAUACCAGGUGCUGUAAG
This is a non-coding RNA of Acanthosepion pharaonis, 111 nucleotides long. The record is from the annotation of a GenBank genome assembly. NCBI's taxonomy places the organism in Eukaryota, Metazoa, Mollusca, Cephalopoda, Sepiida, Sepiidae.